RNAcentral lists this long non-coding RNA (1613 nucleotides) under Equus asinus (donkey). RNAcentral describes it as "lncRNA (ENSEASG00005032073.1)". Lineage: Eukaryota; Metazoa; Chordata; Mammalia; Perissodactyla; Equidae. The record is from RNAcentral.
GUUUGGUGCCUAGAACUGCGUACGUCCUUGUUCUGAAUGCAGACCUCACGCGGGAGCCUCCGUUCACCUUUCCUUCCUUCUCCUCCACCCGCCCAGCUUGCCUUAGGCUUCCUUCUGGUGCAGUCUCUCAGCCACAAAGAUACAUCUGUUGUAGGCAUCCGUGGCUGAGUCCUCAUGUCCAUCCCGUUCUAGUCCGUCCUACACGCUGCACCAGAGGGAUAUUUCCAAAACGAAAACUUCAUCGUGGUCUUCACCUGCUCACAUCUCUUCUAUGGCUCCCCAUUACUCUGAUGAAAAAAGGCAAACUCUUUAGUCUGGUAUACAGGGCUUGCCAUUCUGCGGGCACUGUGUCUUUACACCGCAUGUCCCUAUGAACGCCCCCCACCAAGCUGUUUAGACAUACCCUCAGUGCCUUUUUACUUUCCCUUUCCUCUCUUCUCCACUUGGUAAACAUUUUUGUUUUAGGAAUCAGUUCAAAAGCUACCAACUUUGUCUUCUAAGUUCUCACGUUGGAGCAUCCAUGGCUUGGAAGAUGUGGCCGUCUGGAUUCUCACGUAUGGCAAGUUCAGGCUGGAGUUGAGUGGCCACUGCUGUUCGUAAGAUGGGGCAUCUGCUCUCCAGUUCACCGUAGUCCCUACACGCCCAAAUGACAGUGCUGCCCUAAGACACAGGAGCCCAUAGAGCUGAGGGAUGCCUGCACUGCCUCCUCCAGAGCAUGCUGCUGGUGCCCAGGGACCCUGAAAUUCCCUGCCACGUGACCCAAGCCUGCUUCCGGAGCCUGCAGAGACGUCUUUACAUCCUUCUUCUGUUAAGCUCUGUAUGAAGAAUGCUGCAUACACUUGGCCCCCUCCCUUUCGAAGCUGACAGACUUGCUGUUCGGUUGGCAGUCCACAAACGUCGCUCAGGUGAUGCCCAGAUGCUGUGCACCAUUGAGAUCCUGAGCCUAACCAAUGGAACAGGGGAGAGAUGACUACAUUCCAAAUUGCAAUAAGCAUGACAAGCCAAUGAGAAAGGGUGCCAUGGGGACACGGAAGAGAGACUGCCUUACUCAGCCUGGGCUCCCAGGAAGGCUUCCAAGAAGAAGGGAUAUUUGAGUGCUGUCUGGAAAGCUGAGCCGAGAGUUGGCAGGUGCGGAAAGGAAUCGGGUGUCAGGUUGAGGCCCCUUGAGGGUGUGGCUGGUGAAGAGGAGAGCACCUGCCCCACAUUCAUUGACUGUGCAGUAUGUAUCAGGGGCCAUGCAGGGUCCUCAGGAGACAGAGAUGGAAGGGCUAAGGAAGGAAUAUGUGGACAGAACUUUGGGUGACAUCCUACCCAGCAGCACACUUCAGAACUCCAUCCUGAUAAUUAAGCCUAAAUCUAAGUCAUUCUAGAAGAUCUCUAGAUCUUCUUUAAAAUAUCCUCUACAAUGUGCAGUAUCUAUUGAAAUUAAAUAUGUGCCUAUCCCAUGACCCAGAAAGUCCAUUUCUUGAUUUCAACUAUAGAGAAAAAACUUGUUCAAAUCACUUGCUGGUGUGAAAGGGUGUACAUUGCAGCACUAUUUGGAAAAAUGAAAAAAUUGGGGAUCAACCCAAAUAUUUACGCAUAGAUGAAUGGCUGUCAGAACUAGGCUAUAC